Molecule: long non-coding RNA, 179 nt
Organism: Humulus lupulus (European hop)
Lineage: Eukaryota; Viridiplantae; Streptophyta; Magnoliopsida; Rosales; Cannabaceae
Exons: 2
Source: RefSeq, a predicted model, not a curated record
AAAAAGGUUAAGGAAAAUGAGUUUGGUAGUUCUAUGGAAGCAUCAAAUUGUGUCAAAAAGGAAUGAUUGUUGUUGGAACUAAAAACAACAAUGAAAUGAAAAGAGCCUUCAAGAGGGAGCAUGAAGUGGAAUUGCUGCCAACUUCUUUAUAUAUGUAAAUAUGAACUAAAAGUACAAUU